RNAcentral lists this long non-coding RNA (400 nucleotides) under Homo sapiens (human). Its description in RNAcentral is "non-protein coding lnc-SAYSD1-1:5". The record is from RNAcentral. Lineage: Eukaryota; Metazoa; Chordata; Mammalia; Primates; Hominidae.
CAGGUCUCCGCUGAACUUUUGCAACCUUCCUGAGAACUGCCCCUCACCCCACUUCUGGCCCAAUCGGUGGUGUAAGAGGAGUGGGAGAGAAAUAACUCAUGAUGGCAUGGGAAGAGCAUGAGCUUUGCCACUUAUUGGCAAUGGGCUCUUGGAGAGAGUACAUCCUCAAAUUGAGGUGUGGCAUGAUGAUUUGGCUGCCCAGAGGAGAACCUGUCUUUCCCAUCUAAAGUGGGAGGUCAAGCCAAGUAGAGGCAUGUGAUCCUGAGAGGCGAUGGAAACAGUGAAUUGCCGGGCCAGGGCCAUCUCCGCCUGGCUGUGGAAGAGGAACGGGAUCCCUUCCUGGACUGCAUAAGCCCCAGGUAUAUCUGAAGCAUAUUUGACAACAGAAAAAGUUAAUGUA